AUUGAACGCUGGCGGCAGGCCUAACACAUGCAAGUCGAGCGGAUGAAGGGAGCUUGCUCCUGGAUUCAGCGGCGGACGGGUGAGUAAUGCCUAGGAAUCUGCCUUGUAGUUUGGGAUAACGUCCGUAAACGGGCGCUAAUACCGCAUACGUCCUGAGGUAGAAAGUGGGGGAUCUUCGGACCUCACGCUUUCUGAUGAGCCUAGGUCGGAUUAGCUAGUUGGUUGGGUAAAGGCCUACCAAGGCGACGAUCCGUAACUGGUCUGAGAGGAUGAUCAGUCACACUGGAACUGAGACACGGUCCAGACUCCUACGGGAGGCAGCAGUGGGGAAUAUUGGACAAUGGGCGAAAGCCUGAUCCAGCCAUGCCGCGUGUGUGAAGAAGGUCUUCGGAUUGUAAAGCACUUUAAGUUGGGAGGAAGGGAAGUAAGUUAAUAACUUGCUGUUUUGACGUUACCAACAGAAUAAGCACCGGCUAACUUCGUG
Molecule: ribosomal RNA, 484 nt
Filed under: uncultured bacterium
Lineage: Bacteria
Description: partial 16S ribosomal RNA
Rfam family: Bacterial small subunit ribosomal RNA
Source: RNAcentral